GACGAACGCUGGCGGCGUGCUUAACACAUGCAAGUCGAACGGUAAGGCCCUGCUCUUGUGGGGUGUUCGAGUGGAGAACGGGUGAGUAAAACGUGUGUAACCUGUCCCUUACUUUGGGAUAACUCCAGGGAACUCGGGCUAAUAUCGGACAGGAGCACUUGCUGCACGGUGGGGGUUGGAAAGAUUCGGCGGUUGGGGAUGGACUCGCGGCCUAUCAGCUUGUUGGUGGGGUAGUGGCUUACCAAGGCAUCGACGGGUAGCCGGCCUGAGAGGGUGACCGGCCACAUUGGGACUGAGAUACGGCCAAGACUCCUACGGGAGGCAGCAGUGGGGAAUAUUGCACAAUGGGCGGAAGCCUGAAGCAGCGACGCCGCGUGGGGGAUGACGGCCUUCGGGGUGUAAACCUCUUUCGCCUGUGACGAAGCGUAAGUGACGGUAAUGGGUAAAGAAGCACCGGCUAACUACGUG
Molecule: ribosomal RNA, 468 nt
Filed under: uncultured bacterium
Lineage: Bacteria
Description: partial 16S ribosomal RNA
Rfam family: Bacterial small subunit ribosomal RNA
Source: RNAcentral